CAGGGGCAGAAUUAUCCUUUGAAGAAGGAUUUGCAGUGUGAGACGGAUAAGUUGACUCAUUUCUAUACCUUUAUUCUUCGUCCGGAUGCGACUUAUAGCAUUUUGAUUGAUAAUCGGGAGAGGGACUCGGGUAGCAUGUAUACGGAUUGGGAUAUUCUUCCGCCGCGGAAGAUUAAAGAAGUUAAUGCUAAGAAGCCGAAGGAUUGGGAUGAUAGGGAGUAUAUUGAAGAUCCGAAUGAUGUCAAACCCGAGGGAUAUAAUUCGAUUCCUGCUGAGAUUCCGGAUCCAAAGGCUAGAAAGCCUGCCUCGUGGGAUGAAGAUGAUGAUGGUAUAUGGAAGGCACCAAAGGU
RNAcentral lists this unclassified non-coding RNA (350 nucleotides) under Hevea brasiliensis (rubber tree). The record is from RNAcentral. Lineage: Eukaryota; Viridiplantae; Streptophyta; Magnoliopsida; Malpighiales; Euphorbiaceae.